This 310-nucleotide ribosomal RNA is filed under the name Physconelloides ceratoceps. RNAcentral describes it as "partial 12S ribosomal RNA". The record is from RNAcentral. Lineage: Eukaryota; Metazoa; Arthropoda; Insecta; Psocodea; Philopteridae.
GUAAGUGGAUUAGUGAAAAUAAAAAUAAAAAACAUGGCGGUUUUCUAUCAUAUUAGAGGGACAUGUGUUGGGAACGAAUUUGCACGAAUAAUUGUUCUUUUUUUUGAAAUCAUUUUACAUACCGCUGUCUGAAAGAUUUUUCUAGAGAAAAUAUUUUUUAUCAUGGAAUAAGGCAAGUAAAGGUGUAGACUAUGAAAAAGAAAACAUGUGUUCCAUUUUUAUUAAUGGAUAAAAGAAAUUUUAGAAAAAGAAUUUAAUAGUAAAUUUAGUUUAUUAAACUAAUUUGAAUUGGAAAUGGAAAGUGUACACA